RNAcentral lists this long non-coding RNA (1236 nucleotides) under Felis catus (domestic cat). RNAcentral's name for it is "lncRNA (ENSFCAG00000050295.1)". The record is from RNAcentral. Lineage: Eukaryota; Metazoa; Chordata; Mammalia; Carnivora; Felidae.
AUGUUCGACUAUCAUGGCGUAAUUUUUCAGCUGACUGGAAACCUGAGAGUGACAUUCCCAAGGAAGAGCCUACUGACACUGCUGCUACUCCUUCUGCUGAAGGCAUCUCCAAAAGAAAGGAAAAUGGCAUUUCUCUUCCUUUUGCUUUCCAAAAAUCUGAGCCUAACUAACAAGGGAAAUACGAUUUUCAGGCUAUGGCUCCUAUAAUUCACAAGGGAGUGUUGAAAGGCAAGAAGGAGUUAUGGCAAGAGAAGAUUGCCAAAAGAUAUGCGAUAUGAUAGGCACCGCUUUAAGUCUUUUAAGAUGAUGAAUAGUGAUAGAUGAUAGAUAGAUAGAUAGAUAGAUAUUUUUAACUUUUUUAAUGUUUAUUUAUUUUUUAGAGAGAUGGACAGAGGAUGAGCGGGGGAGGGGCAGAGAGAGCAAGAGACACAGAAUCUGAAGCAGGCUCCAGGCUCUGAGCUGUCAGCACAGAGCCUGAGUUGGGGCUCGAACUCAGGAACCAUGAGAUCAUGACUUGAGCCAAAGUCAGAUGCCCAACCGACUGAGCCACCCAGGUGCCCCAGAUGGGUAUACAUUUAGUUCCUAACAACCCUGUGUGGUAGGUAUGCUUUAUAUGUAUUUCACCACAAGGAAUUAAAGGUAAUAUGAAGCUAGAUCACAUCAAUCAAACUCAUAUAGCUAUCAAGAGGUGGAAUUAAAAUUUGAACCUGGACAAUAUGAUUCUAGAGUUCAUACCUGCAAUUGUACUGCAAUUCAACAAGCACAGGUGCUCAGCACCCUCAUUCAUUUGUCUAAAAUUAAAAGCUAGUUUUUUCCAGGACCCCCUUCUAAGCAUUGUGAUACACACCAGCCUAGGUCUUUCAUAUGACCUGAUCUUUGCUUACCACUGAUGUUGGCCAAAUUCAAUCUAUACAGCUCUUUUUCUUUGUAUAACCAACGAUUUUAACAUUAUGUAAUUUCAUAUAGGUUGUCUUGCUUGGUCACCUUUCCUUGAACAACUGCUGCUAACUAUACUGGCCUCAGCAUUUGGAAAGCUACUGUCCCUCCCUUUUCUAUCUGUGCUUAACAUGAAUACUUCACCCAGUCAUGGAACAGACCCUCUGUUUAAGUUCUUAUCCAUUGGCUAUCCAUAGCCAAGAGGCUAUCCAUUGACUGGGUUUUACCAAAGGCUGGAGAUACAGAAAAGCUAUCAAAACACAGAAUAAACACAAUUACAAUAAAAUAAGGCUACUUUUG